AACGAACGCUGGCGGCAUGCCUAACACAUGCAAGUCGAACGAGACCUUCGGGUCUAGUGGCGCACGGGUGCGUAACGCGUGGGAACCUGCCCUUAGGUUCGGAAUAACUCCCCGAAAGGGGUGCUAAUACCGGAUAAUGUCUUCGGACCAAAGAUUUAUCGCCUUUGGAUGGGCCCGCGUUGGAUUAGCUAGUUGGUAGGGUACAAGCCUACCAAGGCGACGAUCCUUAGCUGGUCUGAGAGGAGGAUCAGCCACACUGGGACUGAGACACGGACUAGACUCGUACGGGAGGGAGCAGUGGGGAAUAUUGGACAAUGGGCGAAAGCCUGAUCCAGCAAUGCCGCGUGAGUGAGGAAGGCGUUAGGGUUGUAAAGCUCUUUUAGCCGGGAUGAUAAUGACAGUACCGGGAGAAUAAGCUCCGGCUAACUCCGUG
RNAcentral lists this ribosomal RNA (433 nucleotides) under uncultured bacterium. RNAcentral describes it as "partial 16S ribosomal RNA". It matches the Rfam family "Bacterial small subunit ribosomal RNA", at positions 29 to 507 of the family's 1533-position model. The record is from RNAcentral.